This 68-nucleotide transfer RNA is filed under the name Haplosymploce aurantiaca. RNAcentral's name for it is "tRNA-Ile". Lineage: Eukaryota; Metazoa; Arthropoda; Insecta; Blattodea; Blattellidae. The record is from RNAcentral.
AAUGAAAUGCCUGAUUAAAGGAUUAUCGUGAUAGGAUAAAUUAUGUAAUACAAGUAUUAUUUUCAUUA